This 77-nucleotide transfer RNA is filed under the name Flavobacterium sp. Root935. RNAcentral's name for it is "tRNA-Val". It matches the Rfam family "tRNA". From Rfam's summary of the family: Transfer RNA (tRNA) molecules are approximately 80 nucleotides in length. Lineage: Bacteria; Pseudomonadati; Bacteroidota; Flavobacteriia; Flavobacteriales; Flavobacteriaceae. The record is from RNAcentral.
GGGCGAUUAGCUCAGCUGGUUCAGAGCACCUCGUUUACACCGAGGGGGUCGNGGGGUUCGAACCCCUCAUCGCCCAC